This 550-nucleotide ribosomal RNA is filed under the name uncultured Glomeromycotina. RNAcentral's name for it is "SSU rRNA". It matches the Rfam family "Eukaryotic small subunit ribosomal RNA", at positions 548 to 1098 of the family's 1831-position model. The record is from RNAcentral. Lineage: Eukaryota; Fungi; Glomeromycota.
UUGGAGGGCAAGUCUGGUGCCAGCAGCCGCGGUAAUUCCAGCUCCAAUAGCGUAUAUUAAAGUUGCUGCAGUUAAAAAGCUCGUAGUUGAAUUUCGGGGUUAGUAGGUUGGUCGUGCCUAUGGUAUGCACUGGCUUUACUGAUUCCUCCUUCUUGAAGAACUGUAAUGUCAUUAAUUUGGUGUUGCAGGGAAACAGGACUUGUUACUUUGAAAAAAUUAGAGUGUUUAAAGCAGGCUAACGCUUGAAUACAUUAGCAUGGAAUAAUGAAAUAGGACGUUUGAUCCUAUUUUGUUGGUUUCUAGGAUUGACGUAAUGAUUAAUAGGGAUAGUUGGGGGCAUUAGUAUUCAAUUGUCAGAGGUGAAAUUCUUGGAUUUAUUGAAGACUAACUACUGCGAAAGCAUUUGCCAAGGAUGUUUUCAUUAAUCAAGAACGAAAGUUAGGGGAUCGAAGACGAUCAGAUACCGUCGUAGUCUUAACCAUAAACUAUGCCGACUAGGGAUCGGAUGAUGUUAAUUUUUUAAUGACUCAUUCGGCGCCUUACGGGAAAC